RNAcentral lists this ribosomal RNA (757 nucleotides) under Neobacillus niacini. RNAcentral describes it as "Bacillus niacini partial 16S ribosomal RNA". It matches the Rfam family "Bacterial small subunit ribosomal RNA", at positions 1 to 731 of the family's 1533-position model. Lineage: Bacteria; Bacillati; Bacillota; Bacilli; Caryophanales; Bacillaceae. The record is from RNAcentral.
CCGAAUUCGUCGACAACAGAGUUUGAUCCUGGCUCAGGACGAACGCUGGCGGCGUGCCUAAUACAUGCAAGUCGAGCGAAUCUUUAAAAGCUUGCUUUUGAAGAUUAGCGGCGGACGGGUGAGUAACACGUGGGCAACCUGCCUGUAAGACUGGGAUAACUUCGGGAAACCGGAGCUAAUACCGGAUAAUCCUUUUCCUCUCAUGAGGAAAAGCUGAAAGUCGGUUUCGGCUGACACUUACAGAUGGGCCCGCGGCGCAUUAGCUAGUUGGUGAGGUAACGGCUCACCAAGGCAACGAUGCGUAGCCGACCUGAGAGGGUGAUCGGCCACACUGGGACUGAGACACGGCCCAGACUCCUACGGGAGGCAGCAGUAGGGAAUCUUCCGCAAUGGACGAAAGUCUGACGGAGCAACGCCGCGUGAGCGAUGAAGGCCUUCGGGUCGUAAAGCUCUGUUGUUAGGGAAGAACAAGUAUCGGAGUAACUGCCGGUACCUUGACGGUACCUAACCAGAAAGCCACGGCUAACUACGUGCCAGCAGCCGCGGUAAUACGUAGGUGGCAAGCGUUGUCCGGAAUUAUUGGGCGUAAAGCGCGCGCAGGCGGUCCUUUAAGUCUGAUGUGAAAGCCCACGGCUCAACCGUGGAGGGUCAUUGGAAACUGGGGGACUUGAGUGCAGAAGAGGAAAGCGGAAUUCCACGUGUAGCGGUGAAAUGCGUAGAGAUGUGGAGGAACACCAGUGGCGAAGGCGGCUUUCUG